This 257-nucleotide ribosomal RNA is filed under the name uncultured bacterium. RNAcentral's name for it is "partial small subunit ribosomal RNA". It matches the Rfam family "Bacterial small subunit ribosomal RNA", at positions 26 to 285 of the family's 1533-position model. The record is from RNAcentral.
AGGACGAACGCUGGCGGCGUGCUUAACACAUGCAAGUCGGACGAGACCCUUCCUUCGGGGGGUGUUCUAGUGGCGAACGGGUGAGUAACACGUGGGCAACCUGCCCCGGCUCUGGGAUAACUCCAAGAAAUUGGGGCUAAUACCGGAUAUGACUGCUGACCGCAUGGUCUGGUGGUGGAAAGAUUUAUCGGCUGGGGAUGGGCCCGCGGCCUAUCAGCUUGUUGGUGGGUAGUGGCCUACCAAGGCGACGACGGGUA